This is a non-coding RNA of Salmo salar (Atlantic salmon), 54 nucleotides long. The record is from Rfam. NCBI's taxonomy places the organism in Eukaryota, Metazoa, Chordata, Actinopteri, Salmoniformes, Salmonidae.
UGCAUUCACUACUGUUUGUCGCUCUAGAUAAGAGCGUCUGCUAAAUGACUAAAA